This 499-nucleotide ribosomal RNA is filed under the name uncultured bacterium. RNAcentral describes it as "partial 16S ribosomal RNA". It matches the Rfam family "Bacterial small subunit ribosomal RNA", at positions 28 to 507 of the family's 1533-position model. The record is from RNAcentral.
GACGAACGCUGGCGGCGUGCUUAACACAUGCAAGUCGAACGGGCCUGUCUUCUUUUUUGGGGGUGGGUUGAGUGGCGAACGGGUGAGUAUCACGUGAGUAACCUGCCCUUCGGUCCUGGAUAACCGCUUGAAAGGGCGGCUAAUACGGGGUGGUCCGGUUGGUCCGCAUGGGCUGGUCGGGAUAGAUUCACUGUUUUUGGUGUUUCGGCGGGGGAUGGGCUCGCGGCCUAUCAGCUUGUUGGUGGGGUGAUGGCCUACCAAGGCGGUGACGGGUAGCCGGCCUGAGAGGGUGGGCGGCCACACUGGGACUGAGAUACGGCCCAGACUCCUGCGGGAGGCAGCAGUGGGGGGUAUUGCACAAUGGGCGGAAGCCUGAUGCAGCGACGUCGCGUGAGGGAUGGAGGCCUUCGGGUUGUGAACCUCUGUUUCCGGUGGUGAAGGCCCUGUCCGUGUGGUGGGGUUGACAGUAGCCGGGGAUGAAGCGCCGGCUAACUACGUG